RNAcentral lists this ribosomal RNA (468 nucleotides) under uncultured bacterium. RNAcentral describes it as "partial 16S ribosomal RNA". It matches the Rfam family "Bacterial small subunit ribosomal RNA", at positions 28 to 507 of the family's 1533-position model. The record is from RNAcentral.
GACGAACGCUGGCGGCGUGCUUAACACAUGCAAGUCGAACGGAAAGGCCCUGCUUUUGCGGGGUGCUCGAGUGGCGAACGGGUGAGUAACACGUGAGUAACCUGCCCUUGACUUUGGGAUAACUUCAGGAAACUGGGGCUAAUACCGGAUAGGAGCUCCUGCUGCAUGGGGGGGGUUGGAAAGAUUCGGCGGUUGGGGAUGGACUCGCGGCUUAUCAGCUUGUUGGUGGGGUAGUGGCUUACCAAGGCUUUGACGGGUAGCCGGCCUGAGAGGGUGACCGGCGUCAUUGGGACUGAGAUACGGCCCAGACGCCUACGGGAGGCAGCAGUGGGGAAUAUUGCACAAUGGGCGGAAGCCUGAUGCAGCAACGCCGCGUGCGGGAUGACGUCCUUCGGGUUGUAAACCGCUUUCGCCUGUGACGAAGCGUUAGUGACGGUAAUGGGUAAAGAAGCACCGGCUAACUACGUG